RNAcentral lists this signal recognition particle RNA (273 nucleotides) under Candidatus Aenigmatarchaeota archaeon. Its description in RNAcentral is "signal recognition particle sRNA". It matches the Rfam family "Archaeal signal recognition particle RNA". Lineage: Archaea; Nanobdellati; Candidatus Aenigmatarchaeota. The record is from RNAcentral.
CAGAGGAUUAGAUUGGGGAGCUACCGGUUCUCUGUAAGCGCAAAUCCGGUUUAUGGCGCGAUCGAAGCUUGAGGGCGAUGUUAAAGAUUUAUGAAGCCCUGUUGACUGACUGAGAAGCUUCGUCCUCUGGAACUGGAAUUAUGGUGAACCGGCUGAGGCGGGGAACCGAGCAAGCCUAAGUCGUAGUUUUGGUGUUCAGGGGGUCGCGAAGUGGAGAAGGUUAAUAGGAUAAACUUCGUAAAUUUUUAGCAACCACCAAGAGCGUAUCCUCUG